RNAcentral lists this transfer RNA (85 nucleotides) under Helicobacter sp. 13S00477-4. RNAcentral describes it as "tRNA-Leu". Lineage: Bacteria; Pseudomonadati; Campylobacterota; Epsilonproteobacteria; Campylobacterales; Helicobacteraceae. The record is from RNAcentral.
GUGCUGGUGGUGGAACUGGUAGACACGCCAUCUUGAGGGGGUGGUGAGGUAACUCGUGCGAGUUCAAGUCUCGCUCAGCACACCA